RNAcentral lists this ribosomal RNA (524 nucleotides) under uncultured bacterium. RNAcentral's name for it is "partial 16S ribosomal RNA". It matches the Rfam family "Bacterial small subunit ribosomal RNA", at positions 355 to 868 of the family's 1533-position model. The record is from RNAcentral.
UGGGGAAUUUUGGACAAUGGGGGAAACCCUGAUCCAGCCAUCCCGCGUGUGCGAUGAAGGCCUUCGGGUUGUAAAGCACUUUUGGCAGGAAAGAAACGUCGCGGGUUAAUACCCCGCGAAACUGACGGUACCUGCAGAAUAAGCACCGGCUAACUACGUGCCAGCAGCCGCGGUAAUACGUAGGGUGCAAGCGUUAAUCGGAAUUACUGGGCGUAAAGCGUGCGCAGGCGGUUCGGAAAGAAAGAUGUGAAAUCCCAGAGCUUAACUUUGGAACUGCAUUUUUAACUACCGGGCUAGAGUGUGUCAGAGGGAGGUGGAAUUCCGCGUGUAGCAGUGAAAUGCGUAGAUAUGCGGAGGAACACCGAUGGCGAAGGCAGCCUCCUGGGAUAACACUGACGCUCAUGCACGAAAAGCGUGGGGAGCAAAACAGGAUUAGAUACCCUGGUAGUCCACGCCCUAAAACGAUGUCAAACUAGCUGUUGGGGCCUUCGGGCCUUGGUAGCGCAGCUAACGCGUGAAGUUGA